CAGCAGCCACGGUAAUACGGAGGGGGCUAGCGUUGUUCGGAAUUACUGGGCGUAAAGCGCACGUAGGCGGCUUGGUAAGUUAGAGGUGAAAGCCCGGAGCUCAACUCCGGAAUUGCCUUUAAGACUGCCGAGCUAGCAGGUGAGAGAGGUAAGUGGAAUUCCGAGUGUAGAGGUGAAAUUCGUAGAUAUUCGGAAGAACACCAGUGGCGAAGGCGGCUUACUGGCUCAUACUGGACGCUGAGGUGCGAAAGCGUGGGGAGCAAACAGGAUUAGAUAUCCCCGUAGUCCCUGUCUCUUAUAC
Molecule: ribosomal RNA, 301 nt
Filed under: uncultured bacterium
Lineage: Bacteria
Description: partial 16S ribosomal RNA
Rfam family: Bacterial small subunit ribosomal RNA
Source: RNAcentral